UACGUAGGGUGCGAGCGUUGUCCGGAAUUAUUGGGCGUAAAGGGCUCGUAGGCGGUUUGUCGCGUCGGGAGUGAAAACCUCGGGCUUAACUCGGGGCUUGCUUUCGAUACGGGCAGACUGGAGGUAUGCAGGGGAGAACGGAAUUCCUGGUGUAGCGGUGAAAUGCGCAGAUAUCAGGAGGAACACCGGUGGCGAAGGCGGUUCUCUGGGCAUGACCUGACGCUGAGGAGCGAAAGUGUGGGGAGUGAACAGG
This 253-nucleotide ribosomal RNA is filed under the name uncultured bacterium. RNAcentral describes it as "partial 16S ribosomal RNA". It matches the Rfam family "Bacterial small subunit ribosomal RNA", at positions 524 to 776 of the family's 1533-position model. The record is from RNAcentral.